GGACCCGUGCCCGAGACCAAAAGGACUACUUUGAUAGAGUAUGAACAGGGGUUUAAAUCCCCUCGGCUCC
Molecule: transfer RNA, 70 nt
Filed under: Bipes biporus
Lineage: Eukaryota; Metazoa; Chordata; Lepidosauria; Squamata; Bipedidae
Description: tRNA-Ile
Rfam family: tRNA
About the family: Transfer RNA (tRNA) molecules are approximately 80 nucleotides in length. Their secondary structure includes four short double-helical elements and three loops (D, anti-codon, and T loops).
Source: RNAcentral